RNAcentral lists this unclassified non-coding RNA (310 nucleotides) under uncultured Pyronemataceae. RNAcentral describes it as "sequence contains ITS1". The stretch from base 1 to 105 matches the Rfam family "5.8S ribosomal RNA", at positions 50 to 154 of the family's 154-position model. Lineage: Eukaryota; Fungi; Ascomycota; Pezizomycetes; Pezizales; Pyronemataceae. The record is from RNAcentral.
GAAAUGCGAUAAGUAGUGUGAAUUGCAGAAUUCCGUGAAUCAUCGAAUCUUUGAACGCACAUUGCGCCUCCUGGCAUUCCGGGAGGCAUGCCUGUUUCAGCGUCAUUAACAACCUCUCAAGCGUCUUUGCUUGGUCUUGGGGGAUGAGCGGCCUCGCUGCAGCUCACCCCUGAAAUUCAAUGGCGGAUGGUCCCACGUGCCCCGACGUAGUAAGAGCAAUCUUUCGUCGACGGCGUGAGUGCCUCCUGCCCUCAAUCCCCACACAUUCAAGGUUGACCUGAAAUCAGGUAGGGAUACCCGCUGAACUUAA